AGGGUUUGAUCAUGGCUCAGGAUGAACGCUAGCGGCAGGCUUAACACAUGCAAGUCGAGGGGUAUAGUUCUUCGGAGCUAGAGACCGGCGCACGGGUGCGUAACGCGUAUGCAAUCUACCUUUUACAGAGGGAUAGCCCAGAGAAAUUUGGAUUAAUACCUCAUAGUAUGUGAGAAUCGCAUGGUUUUUCACAUUAAAGUCACAACGGUAAAAGAUGAGCAUGCGUCCCAUUAGCUUGUUGGUAAGGUAACGGCUUACCAAGGCAACGAUGGGUAGGGGUCCUGAGAGGGAGAUCCCCCACACUGGUACUGAGACACGGACCAGACUCCUACGGGAGGCAGCAGUGAGGAAUAUUGGACAAUGGGCGCAAGCCUGAUCCUGCCAUGCGCGUGCAGGAUGACGAUCCUAUGGAUUGUAAACUGCUUUU
This 427-nucleotide ribosomal RNA is filed under the name uncultured Flavobacteriia bacterium. Its description in RNAcentral is "bacterial SSU rRNA". It matches the Rfam family "Bacterial small subunit ribosomal RNA", at positions 8 to 437 of the family's 1533-position model. Lineage: Bacteria; Pseudomonadati; Bacteroidota; Flavobacteriia. The record is from RNAcentral.